Molecule: long non-coding RNA, 1809 nt
Organism: Leopardus geoffroyi (Geoffroy's cat)
Lineage: Eukaryota; Metazoa; Chordata; Mammalia; Carnivora; Felidae
Exons: 2
Source: RefSeq, a predicted model, not a curated record
AUUUUAAAUAAUUUAUUUGGCCAAUUAGCCUUUUGAGGGUUUCUUAAUUUCGUUGUAAUGUGACAAGUUAUUGACAACGAAGGAGGAAGAAUUUUCUAUGGAUCUGUUGCCUAGAACAGCAUUCUCAACCAGGGACAAUUUUGCCUCCCAGGGAACAUUGGACAAGGUCUGGAAAUAUUUUUUCUCAUCACAGCUCAGGGGUGAGGUGCUGCUACUGGAAAGUAGGGGUUAGAUUUUACAUUUUACAGUGCACGGGAUCCCCCUCCCCCAACAAAGAAUUAUGCAACUCAAAAUGUUAGUGGUGCCGAGGCUGAGAAGCCCUUAGUGUGUAUCAUUUUCACAAUCAGAAUAGAAAAUUGGGUUAUUUUCAUUUUGGUAGGAAAAAUGUUACGUAAGUUUUCUGUUCAUAGCUUCUGCCCACUUACCUAUUGGAGUCUGGAUGUUUUUCUUAAAAAGGACGUUCUUUCUAUGGUAUAAAUAUGACAUCUGCAUUUAUUUCUUUUGAUGCAAGUAUUUUCCCCAAUGUAUUACUGUCCUUUUCAUUUUGUAUUGCAACUUUAAGACCUUUUUAACAUAAAGGAACGUUUAAACUUCAGGCCCUCUCAACCCGGGACUCUCUUUCUCAUCACUUGCUGUAUAUGCUUGGGCUAUAUUGCUCAAGAUUGGCUAGGUCAUUCAAGCCUUCUGGUUAAUGGUUUACUUCUUGGCUUACCCUUUGCAAAAGGAUGUGUAGGAGCAACACCCUCUGAAUAAUAAAGUCCUAUUCAACAAAGUGGUACAAAUCAAAAGCAAAUGGUGGGCAGGCAAGAGGUUUAGGUUUUUGGGCGUCCUUGAGAAAGACCUCAGUGUCCCCAUUGGUUACAUGGCAGGUUGGUUUGCAGCAUCUCUGAGUUAUCUUUUAAUUCUGUGAUUCUAUAUAGAAGGGAAGAUGACCAUAAUUAUUGUUAUACCCCCCCCGCCCCCCCCCCCCCCCCCACAACCACGCUACCACAUGGACCCAUAAUGAUCUCUACAUAAUGAUAUCCCACAAUCUGAAGGGGACUUUGUCCUGUGGAACCACUCUAUGCCCCCUAGGAAGCAGGGUGCCAGACUGAGUACUACGGAGGAAACUAAGAAAAUCCCCAAGCAGUUUGGGAAAGGACUUUUUGGUGAGAUGCUCCCAUUCUUUUCAAGAGAGAGAAGUUUGGGUGCUGCUCGCUGAGGACAGCUUCAUGGAGACAUCUGCUUGAAUGGGCACCAUCAAUUUGUGACCUGGGACCUGUAAUCUCAUUUGAACAGAAAUUCUUCAUAAACAUCAAGACUGACUGGUAUGGAGCUGGCCUCCUUCCAAAUAUGCCUCCCAAACUUAACCACACGGACCCAUCAUCAGUGGUACAGGCAUUCAGGGGUGGUAGAUUGCCUUGACAUGCUUUUCUUUCCCAAAUGAAAAUAGUCUACGUUGUUGUUCUGCUUUUUAACAUGGUACACAUUCAUCACAAUAAAAAAAAAAUACAGAAAAAUACUAGGGUAAGAUAAGCUACUCAAAACUCAUGACUCAGGAAUAACUGCUAUUAGCAUUUUGGAGAACAUCUUUCCAGAUAUCUGUAUGUAUGCAAACAUGCCCCAAACCCACAGAUACUGUUUGUAACUUGCUGUUCUCCCCUCAUUGCUAUGUCAUAUGUAUCUUUCUGUGAUACAGACAUACAUAGUCAUUUUUAGUGGUAGCAUAAAAUUCUAGUGUCUGCAUGUGUCAUAAUAUGCUUAAUCCCCUAUUGUUGGGCAUCUGUCCAAUUUUACAGUAUUGAUAAAGCGUUUACUGGUCAUGAUGAA